This 490-nucleotide ribosomal RNA is filed under the name uncultured bacterium. Its description in RNAcentral is "partial 16S ribosomal RNA". It matches the Rfam family "Bacterial small subunit ribosomal RNA", at positions 30 to 507 of the family's 1533-position model. The record is from RNAcentral.
UGACCGCUGGCGGUAGGCCUAACACAUGCAAGUCGACCGGCAGCACAGUAAGAGCUUGCUCUUACGGGUGGCGGGUGGCGGACGGGUGAGGAAUACAUCGGAAUCUACUUUUUCGUGGGGGAUAACGUAGGGAAACUUACGCUAAUACCGCAUACGACCUACGGGUGAAAGCAGGGGAUCUUCGGACCUUGCGCGAUUGAAUGAGCCGAUGUCGGAUUAGCUAGUUGGCGGGGUAAAGGCCCACCAAGGCGACGAUCCGUAGCUGGUCUGAGAGGAUGAUCAGCCACACUGGAACUGAGACACGGUCCAGACUCCUACGGGAGGCAGCAGUGGGGAAUAUUGGACAAUGGGCGCAAGCCUGAUCCAGCCAUACCGCGUGGGUGAAGAAGGCCUUCGGGUUGUAAAGCCCUUUUGUUGGGAAAGAAAAGCAGCAGGUUAAUACCCCGCUGUUCUGACGGUACCCAAAGAAUAAGCACCGGCUAACUUCGUG